UAGGCAGUUCAUCGACCCAUUUUCUUUCUGCACCUUCGAGUUUCUUCUUCCAGAUAAAUCGCUCAACGUCAGCUUUUUUAGUAGAGGAUAAAGCUUCGGCCUCGAUCCAUUUAGUAAAGUAGUCUGUGGUGACAAUCAUCAUGUCUUUCUUGGCAGGUGCUAGUGGCAUGGGUCCCACUAAGUCAAUGGUCCAUUGUAUGAAUGGCCAGGUAUCGGCUUGUAUCGCUGGCAUUGAUCGCAUCUUUUGACAUAAUCUGUGUAGUCGUGUCUCAUGUUAGGCCAGAAGUAGCCUAUGUUUAGAGCUUUCUGAGCAAGUGAUAUGCCCCCAGAAUGGUUA
Molecule: long non-coding RNA, 337 nt
Filed under: Prunus persica (peach)
Lineage: Eukaryota; Viridiplantae; Streptophyta; Magnoliopsida; Rosales; Rosaceae
Description: long non-coding RNA (PPER_LNC006081)
Source: RNAcentral